GCACAGAGUUAGCCGUCCCUUCCUCUUCGGCUACUAGCAGAUCACAAGGCAGUUAACCUGUGACUUUGUUCACCAAUGACAGGAGUUUACAAUCCGAAGACCUUCAUCCUCCACGCGGCGUCGCUCCUUCAGGGUUUCCCCCAUUGAGAAAAAUUCUCGACUGCUGCCACCCGUAGGUGUCUGGACCGUGUCUCAGUUCCAGUGUGGCUGGUCGUCCUCUCAGACCAGCUACCCGUCAUAGCCUUGGUAAGCCAUUACCUUACCAACUAGCUGAUAGGCCGCGAGCCCCUCUAGAAGCGCCAGGUUGCCCCGGCUUUAGUAUUACUACCACAUGCGGUAUUAAUUCGCCUUUCGGCGAGCUAUCCCCCACUUCAAGGCAGGUUGCUCACGUGUUACUCACCCUUGCGCCACUGAACAUCAUCUGUAUUGCUACAAAUAAUGUCCCGUUCGACUUGCAUGUCUUAUCCACGCCGCCAGCGUUCGUU
RNAcentral lists this ribosomal RNA (485 nucleotides) under uncultured bacterium. RNAcentral describes it as "partial 16S rRNA". The record is from RNAcentral.